Non-coding RNA from Arachis ipaensis, 517 nucleotides. The record is from RefSeq and is a predicted model, not a curated record. NCBI's taxonomy places the organism in Eukaryota, Viridiplantae, Streptophyta, Magnoliopsida, Fabales, Fabaceae.
CUUCCAUUCAGCAUAAACGCUGAAGCAACACCAAGGAAGGGGAAGAACACAUGCAAACUCACAAACCCUCACCACAAAUUCAAAUCCACAUAACUUUUGAUCCGGAGCUCCGAUCGCCGCACCGUUUACGGUCACGCAAUCGCAGUGAUGAGCUCUACAAAGUCCAUUACCAUUCAAGAUGCAGGUCGAGUGGCUCCUCGGUAGGCGUCUGAAGGUUCUGCAGCGAAGUGGUUUACUUUAAGAUCUCCUUUUGUUAUUUUGAUGUAUAUAUAUGUAUAGUUUCUCCUCUUGUAUGUAAGAAUACUUUGUUUAUGUACCUCUUAGAGGUUUUAUGGAGAACUAGGGUUUUGAACAUGUUCUUUUGGGUUAUUAUUAUGUAUAUAUAUGUACGUAUAUGUUCUCUGGCCAGCCUUGGCUUCGCAGGCUGAGUCAGGAGCUAGUUAUGAUGUAUUCUUGGCCCUCCACUUGUAUCAUCUGUAUAUAUAUGUUAUUGAACUUUAGUUUUCUUCUCACGCAA